RNAcentral lists this antisense RNA (81 nucleotides) under Buttiauxella agrestis ATCC 33320. Its description in RNAcentral is "antisense RNA of dnaA mRNA". It matches the Rfam family "antisense RNA of dnaA mRNA". Lineage: Bacteria; Pseudomonadati; Pseudomonadota; Gammaproteobacteria; Enterobacterales; Enterobacteriaceae. The record is from Rfam by way of RNAcentral.
UUUUGCAUUCGGUUUGCGAGCAAUAAUACCGUUGCCAACAGCAUGCAAAAGGUGCGUUUUACCUAAACCCGUGCCGCCAUA